This 300-nucleotide unclassified non-coding RNA is filed under the name Paraglomerales sp. RNAcentral's name for it is "partial contains 5.8S ribosomal RNA and internal transcribed spacer 2". The stretch from base 1 to 65 matches the Rfam family "5.8S ribosomal RNA", at positions 84 to 154 of the family's 154-position model. Lineage: Eukaryota; Fungi; Glomeromycota; Glomeromycetes; Paraglomerales. The record is from RNAcentral.
GUGAAUCAUCGAAUCUUUGAACGCAAAUUGCGCCUUUUUCGGAAGGCAUGUCUGUUUGAGGGCACCAUUUAACAAAUAAUGUGCAUUUCGUGUGCACACGUUGAUGAGCUUUCCAAAAUUAUGUAUUAUUAUUUUUGGUGGCGCAUAAUAAACAGCGUGGGCUUUUUCUUUCGAUUCUCGUGUAGUAAGUAAAUUUCGACGCUUGGGUCGAGAAAAAGUGCGUGCCGCGCAAUGGGUGUGGCGAAUAUACCCCUGCCCCAAUGCCACUCUUUCCCUGCGAAAGAACAUCUUUAUUCAGGG